RNAcentral lists this ribosomal RNA (499 nucleotides) under uncultured bacterium. RNAcentral's name for it is "partial 16S ribosomal RNA". It matches the Rfam family "Bacterial small subunit ribosomal RNA", at positions 28 to 507 of the family's 1533-position model. The record is from RNAcentral.
GACGAACGCUGGCGGCGUGCCUAAUACAUGCAAGUCGAGCGAAGUUUUUCUGGUGCUUGCACUAGAAAAACUUAGCGGCGAACGGGUGGGUAACACGUAAAGAACCUGCCUCAUAGACUGGGACAACUAUUGGAAACGAUAGCUAAUACCGGAUAACAGCAUUAACUGCAUGGUUGAUGUUUAAAAGUUGGUUUUGCUAACACUAUGAGAUGGCUUUGCGGUGCAUUAGCUAGUUGGUGGGGUAAAGGCCUACCAAGGCGACGAUGCAUAGCCGACCUGAGAGGGUGAUCGGCCACACUGGGACUGAGACACGGCCCAGACUCCUACGGGAGGCAGCAGUAGGGAAUCUUCCGCAAUGGGCGAAAGCCUGACGGAGCAACGCCGCGUGAGUGAAGAAGGAUUUCGGUUCGUAAAGCUCUGUUGUUAGGGAAGAAUGACUGUGUAGUAACUAUACACAGUAGAGACGGUACCUAACCAGAAAGCCACGGCUAACUACGUG